GGGGGUAUAGCUCAGUGGUAGUAGAGCAAUCGACUGCAGAUCGAUAGGUCCAUGGUUCAACUCCGUGUGCCCCUU
Caligus rogercresseyi is the source of this 75-nucleotide non-coding RNA. The record is from the annotation of a GenBank genome assembly. Lineage: Eukaryota; Metazoa; Arthropoda; Copepoda; Siphonostomatoida; Caligidae.